RNAcentral lists this long non-coding RNA (2018 nucleotides) under Homo sapiens (human). Its description in RNAcentral is "HSALNT0053008". The record is from RNAcentral. Lineage: Eukaryota; Metazoa; Chordata; Mammalia; Primates; Hominidae.
UGUAAAUCUAAAAUUCUGGCCGGGCACAGUGGCUCAUGCCUGUAGUACCACCACUUUGGAAGGCCGAGGUGGGUGGAUCACUUGAGGUCAGGAGUUCGAGACCAGCCUGGCCAACAUGGUGAAACCCCAUCUCUACUAAAAAUACAAAAAUUAGCCGGACGUGGUGGUGCACACCUGUAGUCCCAGCUACUCAGGAGGCUGAGGCAGGAGAAUUGCUUGAACCCAGGAGGUUGCAGUGAGCUGAGAUCGUGCCACUAUACUCCAGCCUUGGGGAGAGAGAGAGAUUCCAUCUCAAAAAAAGAAUACUAAAAUAAAAUAUUUUCCAAUUAAAAGCCAAAUAAUUUAUAUUUUAAACUGAGACAUCUGAGGGGUUUCUAUGGCUGGUCCAAGAUUAUCAGUUUAAAAUAUUAAGGCACUCAUACAAGCUAGAAAUCCUGGGCCUACAGAUCUGUGUUAAAGAAAAUUAUGUGAAGUCCUAAAAGAAGCCCAUUCUAGACAGUGACCAGAUUUUAACUAAAAAUUUUAAAUUACCUACUUUGCCCCACGUUUUUUCACCUCUUAUAUUUCCCAAGCAAAAAUUUAAAUCAAAUCAAUGGUUCAACAAUCAAAUUUCACUUUUCAAUUUCAAAUUUCAAUUUUAAAAUCAUAGUUUCAAAACACCUAACAGAAUUAUUGAUUUAUUCCCCAGAAGGCUUUUCUAGGUUUAGAUGGAAUUUUUAAUACUCAGCAAUUUGAAAGUCAGAGAAUUAUCUAUAAAGUAGCUUUUGUUCUUUAAAUUUUUGGUCUACAAACUUUUUUAAAGAAAGGGUAUCACUCUAUUGCUUAGGCUGGAGUGCCAUGGCACGAUCAUAGCUCACUGCAGCCUCCAUCGUGUGGGCUCCAGUGAUCCUCCCACCUCAGCCUCCUAAGUAGCUGGGGCAGGUGCAUGCUCUGCAAAUUUUAAAAUUCUUUUGCAGAGACAGGGUGGGUCUCACUAUGUUGCCCAAGCUGGUCUCAAGCUCCUGACCUCAAGCAAUCCUCUGGCCUCAAGCGAUCCUCCGUGCUAGGAUUCCAGGCAUGAGCCUACAAACUCUUAAGAGGUAAUGUAAUCUUCCCAUGUGUAUAUUAAUGAGAGAGGUCCUUGAAGUGAUGAAAAAGACUGGAUCCUGCUGACUACUGGUUGGGCUUCAGAAUGUUCCUAACAACAUUCUGAGGGUAUAAUCCACAGGAUUUCAUAUCCAGGCCUGUCUCUCAAGAGAUGUUCUCAGGGAUCUUUAACAACUAUUCCCUACUCCCCCUAACCUUAAGCAGAACAAGACUUUUCUUACAUGUUCUAUUUCCUCUGCCCUUCCCUGACAAGGUAAGCCUCUGGCAACUAUGGCUAAGUGGUUCCCCUACUGUAGAACAGAGAGCUCAGCCAGGUGAUGGGACUGCCAAUCAAAGGCCACAUGAGAUGAACUGGAGGGAAUUUUUUCCAGCUUUUGGUGUACAUGGAAUCUACCUGCAAGGCUUAGCAAAACAGCAAUGAAGACAUUUCGUUUAUCUGGGCCCUUACUUGGGGGAGUUCUGUGGUUAUAAUUACAGACAGCCACCCUAGAAAGUCUUACAUUCCUAUCCAUUUCUGUAAUUGAAUUGAUUUUAAUCUCUUCCUAUUUUAUACACCAAGGAUUUAUAGGAUGCUAAUAACUUUCUCCCCACCACUACCCUCUUCUUAUCCAAAUUCCUGUAACGUAAGGAUAUCAAGUUAACCACAGAGUUUGAAUUGAAUGCCUGUGGCUGUUUCUGGAUAAGAAUCUGAAGGGAGGCCAGGCAUGGUGGCUCACGCCUAUAAUCCUAGCACUUUGGGAGGCCAAGGUGGGUGGAUUACCUGAGGUCAGGAGUUGGAGACCAGCCUGGCUAACAUGGUGAAACCCCGUCUCUAAUAAAAAGACAAAAAAUUAGCUGGGCAUGGUUGUGUGUGCCUGUAAUCCCAGCUACUCGGGAGGCUGAGGCAGGAGAAUCACUUGAACCCAGGAGGCAGAGGUUGCAGUGAGCCGAGA